Molecule: non-coding RNA, 97 nt
Organism: Phyllosticta citriasiana
Lineage: Eukaryota; Fungi; Ascomycota; Dothideomycetes; Botryosphaeriales; Phyllostictaceae
Source: the annotation of a GenBank genome assembly
UCCGUUAUGGUCUAGUGGCUAGGAUUUGUCGCUCUCAGCACGAGUGAAAAGCUCUGCAAGCGCCGACAAGGCCGGGGUUCAAUUCCCCGUGACGGAA